This is a long non-coding RNA of Triticum dicoccoides, 647 nucleotides long. RefSeq lists it as uncharacterized. The record is from RefSeq and is a predicted model, not a curated record. NCBI's taxonomy places the organism in Eukaryota, Viridiplantae, Streptophyta, Magnoliopsida, Poales, Poaceae. The transcript has 2 exons.
UCUCCUCCCUCCUUCUCUUCUUCUCUUUCUCGGUCUCCCACUCUCCAUUUCUAUAUCAUAUUACUGAUACACGUCAUGUAGGAAGAAAGAUACGUGUCUGGUAUUUUCCUUCUCAUUGAUAUGCACCCGACCAUGGCUAUUUGUACUAAUUGUAUAAAUGAUUUAGAGUUUGGAAAGGGAACUUUGUCUCGAAACGGUUUUACAAAUAUCUUUUGACAGUCCGGAUGUGUGUUUUCCUUUGACCCUGCAAAAGAAUUGUAAAAGGAUGAGCAGUUUUGGAAAAUACCAAAGGCACGUCUAAGCACAGUAGAAUGUCCACAUAUCUCUUUAUCGCUAUAUAAUUCAUUUCGGUACCAUAUGACCUAAUGUUUUUCAUUUUCCUUCUACUCCGACCAGGCAAGCAACGGCAAUGCUGGACAGGCUACUCUCGCACCAGACUCCCUUUAGGGUAGUUACCCACGGGCACUCACCUCUGCCGUUUAUUAUUACUUGUGAUUCCGCUUGUUGUGACUGGCUUGAUCCAUGUUGCGGCCCAAUUAUUAUUUUUGUUUAGUUGCGAUGGAUCGUCUUGGCUUGCUUUUGGCACACCUGAUUCCACUACCUUCUGUUGUUGCUUGGACCAGUUUACUAUGUACUGAACAUAUUUA